Non-coding RNA from Syngnathoides biaculeatus (alligator pipefish), 72 nucleotides. The record is from the annotation of a RefSeq genome assembly. Lineage: Eukaryota; Metazoa; Chordata; Actinopteri; Syngnathiformes; Syngnathidae.
GUAAUAGUAGCUCAAACUGAGAGCGCCGGUCUUGUAAGCCGGAGGCCGGAGGUUAAAACCCUCCCUCUUACU